RNAcentral lists this ribosomal RNA (490 nucleotides) under uncultured bacterium. RNAcentral's name for it is "partial 16S ribosomal RNA". It matches the Rfam family "Bacterial small subunit ribosomal RNA", at positions 30 to 507 of the family's 1533-position model. The record is from RNAcentral.
AUUGAACGCUGGCGGCGGGCCUAACACAUGCAAGUCGAACGGUAACAGGAAGCAGCUUGCUGCUUUGCUGACGAGUGGCGGACGGGUGAGUAAUGUCUGGGAAACUGCCUGAUGGAGGGGGAUAACUACUGGAAACGGUAGCUAAUACCGCAUAACGUCGCAAGACCAAAGAGGGGGACCUUCGGGCCUCUUGCCAUCGGAUGUGCCCAGAUGGGAUUAGCUAGUAGGUGGGGUAAAGGCUCACCUAGGCGACGAUCCCUAGCUGGUCUGAGAGGAUGACCAGCCACACUGGAACUGAGACACGGUCCAGACUCCUACGGGAGGCAGCAGUGGGGAAUAUUGCACAAUGGGCGCAAGCCUGAUGCAGCCAUGCCGCGUGUAUGAAGAAGGCCUUCGGGUUGUAAAGUACUUUCAGCGGGGAGGAAGGGAGUAAAGUUAAUACCUUUGCUCAUUGACGUUACCCGCAGAAGAAGCACCGGCUAACUCCGUG